RNAcentral lists this ribosomal RNA (253 nucleotides) under uncultured bacterium. RNAcentral describes it as "partial 16S ribosomal RNA". It matches the Rfam family "Bacterial small subunit ribosomal RNA", at positions 524 to 776 of the family's 1533-position model. The record is from RNAcentral. RNAcentral also lists the same sequence under 1 other name.
UACAGAGGGUGCGAGCGUUAAUCGGAAUUACUGGGCGUAAAGCGUGCGUAGACGGUUUCGUAAGUCGGGUGUGAAAGCCCCGGGCUCAACCUGGGAAUUGCAUUCGAGACUGCGUAGCUAGGGUGCGGAAGAGGGAAGCGGAAUUUCCGGUGUAGCGGUGAAAUGCGUAGAUAUCGGAAGGAACAUCAGUGGCGAAAGCGGCUUCCUGGUCCAGCACCGACGUUCAGGCACGAAAGCGUGGGGAGCAAACAGG